CCUACGGGGUGCUGCAGUGAGGAAUAUUGGUCAAUGGGCGCGAGCCUGAACCAGCCCAGUAGCGUGAAGGAUGACUGCCCUACGGGUUGUAAACUUCUUUUAUAAAGGAAUAAAGUGAGGCACGUGUGCCUUUUUGUAUGUACUUUAUGAAUAAGGAUCGGCUAACUCCGUGCCCGCAGCCGCGGUAAUACGGAGGAUCCGAACGUUAGCCGGAUUGAUUGGGUUUAAAGGGUGCGUAGGCGGUCAGGUAAGUGAGAGGUGAAAUCUCGGGGCUCAAAAUCGGAACUGCCUCUGAUACUGUCUGACUAGAGUGUAGGUGCGGAAGGCGGAAUGUGUGGUGUAGCGGUGAAAUGCUUAGAUAUCACACAGAACACCGAUUGCGAAGGCAGCUGUCCAAGCUAUUACUGACGCUGAGGCACGAAAGCGUGGGGAGCGAACAGGAUUAGAUACCCUGGUAGUC
This 460-nucleotide ribosomal RNA is filed under the name uncultured bacterium. RNAcentral's name for it is "partial 16S ribosomal RNA". It matches the Rfam family "Bacterial small subunit ribosomal RNA", at positions 338 to 795 of the family's 1533-position model. The record is from RNAcentral.